This 637-nucleotide unclassified non-coding RNA is filed under the name Hevea brasiliensis (rubber tree). Lineage: Eukaryota; Viridiplantae; Streptophyta; Magnoliopsida; Malpighiales; Euphorbiaceae. The record is from RNAcentral.
GCGAUAUUUGCUUUGAAUAGGUCUUAAUCGCGAAUUUUCCCUCUCUUUAUGUACAAAGCCUUAGGGCCUCAAAUAAAUUCAUCAAUUUUUACUGAGCUUUUUUGGGUCAUAGUUCAACUUUCAUUUGAGAAUUAGGUACAUUGCCUGCUACACCCGGAAAACUUUGGUUCUGAUUUUGUCCAAAUCCCAUUUGAACAACACUAUUGAGAUCAUCCUCAAAGAAUGUGGGGACCUGAGGGGUAGGCUCAACAAAACCAUCUAGAGGAGGCAAUUGCAUACUUGAAUUUCUGAUCAAAUUAGGAUUCAAUGAGUUAAUUUGGAAAGGAAACUCUGUUCCUUUAUGAUAAUUUUGGUUUGGUUGAGAUUGAAAUCCAUAAGGAAAUGCUUGGGUUGAUGUUUCUGAUUGAUACAUGUUAUGUCCCAAUGAUCCCCUAGAUUGAAACAUAUCCUUGGAAAGAAGUGCUUCCAUAUUAAAGUCCAUUCUUGGAUUCACAGUAGCUAAUUUCAUUGAAAGGAACUCAACUUGACGUUGAAGUGAUUGUACAUAGUUAAUAAUCUCAUCAAGCAUUACAGCUUUUCCAGUCACCUUAUUGCAGCCUGGUACAAGAUCUUGUAAAAGCUUCAUUCUUUCACUAAU